AGCUUUAUAUUCAAAUUAUGAUAUUAAAUUGCAAAUUUAAAGUUAGAAAUAUCUUAAGGCUU
This 62-nucleotide transfer RNA is filed under the name Diartiger fossulatus. RNAcentral describes it as "tRNA-Cys". Lineage: Eukaryota; Metazoa; Arthropoda; Insecta; Coleoptera; Staphylinidae. The record is from RNAcentral.